AGUGAACGCUGGCGGUAGGCCUAACACAUGCAAGUCGAACGACCGGACAGUAAGCUUUUUCUCCUACCGGUGGCGAGUGGCGGACGGGUGACAAAUACAUCGGCUUCUACUUUUUCGUGGGUGACUACGUGGGGCCACUUCCGCUACUACCUCAUAUGACCUACGGCAUAAAUCAGGGGUUCUUCGCACCUUUCCUGUUUCAUUUAGCCGAUGUCGGAUUAGCUAGUUGGCGGGGUAAAGGCCCACCAAGGCGACGAUCCGUAGCUGGUCUGAGAGGAUGAUAGGCCACACUGGAACUGAGACACGGUCCAGACUCCUACGGGAGGCAGCAGUAGGGAAUAUUGGGCAAUGGGCGAAAGCCUGAUGCAGCAAUGCCGCGUGAGUGAAGAAGGCCUUCGGGUUGUAAAGCCCUGUUGUUGGGAAAGAAAAAAUGUGGGAGAAAACACGGAUGUUCUGACGGUACCCAAAGAAAAAGCAACGGCUAACUUCGUG
This 492-nucleotide ribosomal RNA is filed under the name uncultured bacterium. RNAcentral describes it as "partial 16S ribosomal RNA". It matches the Rfam family "Bacterial small subunit ribosomal RNA", at positions 29 to 507 of the family's 1533-position model. The record is from RNAcentral.